Molecule: ribosomal RNA, 774 nt
Filed under: uncultured Neocallimastigales
Lineage: Eukaryota; Fungi; Neocallimastigomycota; Neocallimastigomycetes; Neocallimastigales
Description: partial large subunit ribosomal RNA
Rfam family: Eukaryotic large subunit ribosomal RNA
Source: RNAcentral
UAUGUGAUCGUCUCUCGCAUAUCAAUAAGCGGAGGAAAAGAAACUAACAAGGAUUCCCCUAGUAACGGCGAGUGAAGCGGGAAGAGCUCAAAUUUGAAAUCUUAAAGGGUUUCCCUUUACGAAUUGUAGUUUAAAGAAGUGUUUUCUGUUGAGGUUUUGGUAAAAGUUCUUUGGAAUAGGACAUCAUAGAGGGUGAGAAUCCCGUAUUUGACCUUUACUUUCAACUUUGUGAUACACUUUCAAAGAGUCGGAUUGUUUGGGAAUGCAGUCCAAAAUGGGUGGUAAAUUUCAUCUAAAGCUAAAUAUUGGCGAGAGACCGAUAGCGAACAAGUACCGUGAGGGAAAGAUGAAAAGAACUUUGAAAAGAGAGUUAAACAGUACGUGAAAUUGUCAAAAGGGAAGCGUUUGACACCAGUGUUGUUUUUCUGAAAAUCAAUUAAAGAACUGUUUAUGCUAAGUUGUUUAGACUUUAUCAGCUAACUGUUUAGUUUUGAGCUUUUCUUUAAUGCACUUUUCAGUUAACAAGUCAACAUCAAUUUCUUUUGCUGUAAAAAAGCUUGAGGAAGGUGGCUUGAGAUUCGUCUUAAGUGUUUAUAGCCUCUUGCCUAUGCAGUCGGAGAGAUUGAGGUCUGCAGCGUAGAUCCUUCGGGGCUAAAUGCAUUUGUGCUAAGUUAUAGCAUUUUAUAGACAACUUGUUGACUAUGAUUUGUCUUGUAGCUUACUCGCUUAUGUUAUUUUACCUACGCUUAGGAUGUUGAGUCAUCACACAUCUCU